RNA transcript from Gossypium raimondii (Peruvian cotton), 2180 nucleotides. It is a transcript of the gene named beta-galactosidase 17, with no coding region annotated. The record is from RefSeq and is a predicted model, not a curated record. The transcript is spliced from 7 exons. Lineage: Eukaryota; Viridiplantae; Streptophyta; Magnoliopsida; Malvales; Malvaceae.
UUCUUUUUCCAAAAAUCGAUUCCCCCACCCCCAGAAAUUCCACCUGAAAUCUCUUCUUCUUUUUUCCCCAUUUUAUUUUUCUCAACCAUUUCUCCCCUACCCCGAUUCCCUUUAUUUUUUCCACCCAAUUUCCCCAAAUCGGCAGCCCUAUGCAUCUCCUCAAAGGGUUGUAGCAGAAGGAGGUCUCGAAUUAGUAGGUCAGGUGGUACAGAUUCAUGGAGUCCUUACGGAUACCCCCACGCCACCACAAUCUGCAUAUCCUCAACAAAAUUAUUACUACACGCCGCAACAUCCUAGUUAUGCACCACCGCAGUCAUAUAAUUAUGUACCGCAAACGUCUGGGCGUGUACAUAGGACUAUGGAGAGGAAAUACUCAAGGAUAGAUGAUAACUACCAGACAUUGGACCAGCAGUGCCACUCAAAAUGGAUCUUGAUAGGCAAAUUCUCUCGCGUCAAAUGAAUGAUUUCACUAACCCGAAGAACAAUACUUUGGAAGCAAGCGACACUAUAGCUGAAAUGGCAAAGUAAAUGAAUCGAAGUAAAAGCCUAGCUGUGACCUCCAAAUCAAUUACAGCAAUGGCGAGGAAGCGAAGCAGCAAAACUAUGUUGAUAUCCUUCCUUUUGCUUUCCCUUUUAGCUUUCCUUUAUUUCCUUCCCGUCUUCGCUUCUCUCCCUUCUCUUCCCUCUUACUCUCACUCUCACGAUCUUCACUUUCAUCUUCCUCGUCAUCAGCGUCUGCAUCGCCGCCAAAAGAUUGGUGUUAGAAAAUUUGAAAUUGCGGAGGAUAAGUUUUGGAAAGAUGGGAAGCCUUUUCAGAUAAUUUUUGGUGACUUGCAUUAUUUCCGGGUUCUUCUUGAGUACUGGGAAGAUAGGCUUUUGAGGGCAAAAGCAUUGGGGUUGAAUACCAUUCAAACAUCUAUUCCUUGGAAUUUGCAUGAACCAGAGGCAGGCAAACUUGUUUUUGAAGGCAUUGCAGAUUUGGUAUCAUUUCUCAAACUUUGCCAGAAACUAGGUCUCCUUGCUAUGCUUCGAGCUGGGCCUUAUAUAUGUGCAGGCACAGAUGAAGAGACUUAUUCAAUAAUAUAACAAAUGAAUCCAAAUGAUGAAGAAAAGUCAUUUCUGGAAGAGAAGGCUUAUAUGGAAGCAGUCAUCUUCUUAUCAUAUCCAAAUUAAGAAACGGGUGGACCUUACCAUUUUCUUUUUCAUUAUUAAUGAUUGUAGGUUAUCAGAAAGUUCUUUUAUGAAGAUUUUUCUUUCCACCAUGGUGUGUAUAAAAUGUGCUAGUAUUAUGGUUUUUAUUCUUAAAGAUCUGUGCAUCUAUUUGAAAUAGGAAGAAAUGUCAACAACUCCGCUCAUACAGGAGUACUUUAUUUUUUUGGUUAUUUUACUUAGUGUUUGUAUCUAUUUUCCAUGUUAUAAUCAUGUUUAAGAUGUUAUAUAUUUAUAAAAAUUUUGAUCUGGACGCAUUAAUGAUCCAUGUUAUAUAGAUUUGACUCAUUUGUGUUUUGUGUUGUGUUUUGUGUUAGUGUCUCUUUUAUGUUAGGGGACAUGCAUAUAUCUAAAUGGUAAUUAAAAAUUUCCUUUACUAGUUUUAGAGAGGGCAUGGAUUUGGACCAGACAGAUUAGAAAUGCCUAAUUAUUCCUAUAGUGAACAAAGAGUACCAAGAUGUAUAUAGUGUGUGACAUCUUUAGUGGCAAUUAUUAGAUUUAGAAUUCACUGCUGAAUAACAUCUUUUAUGUAUAUUCUUUGAAAAUUAUGCUGGUUUCAAAGGCCAUUGCUACCAUCUUCGAUGCUAGGGUUGGAAGCGAUGACAGGAACUUUAGAUGAUUUUGGCUUCGAGGAUUAUCUGAAUGAUCCUCGAGAUUCGGAGACUGUUCGGCCGCUGGACUUGCACCACAGCAUGGAAGUUCAUCUCAGCCUCUCUAAGGGAUCAGUCUGUCCUAGUUUUAUGUGAGAUUUUCAUCGACUACUUCAGUGUUGUCCCAUGAAGGAAGUCACUGCUGAACCUUUUUAUUUUCCCUUAAUGAAUUUAGCCAUUCUGGCCUUUGAUAAUGCACAUCAGCUUUUUUUUAUUGCGUUGGGUUGAACUUCUUGAAAACCAACUGCUUUGACAACUAUUUAAUCUAAUACCAAGGACAAUACUUCAGUUAUCAAUUUAUAUAAUAUAUCUUUCGUUGAA